Molecule: long non-coding RNA, 359 nt
Organism: Thunnus maccoyii (southern bluefin tuna)
Lineage: Eukaryota; Metazoa; Chordata; Actinopteri; Scombriformes; Scombridae
Exons: 3
Source: RefSeq, a predicted model, not a curated record
UUGAGCCAGGCCUUGCUAGGUCAGUUGAUUAUUAACCAUACAAUUUUCUUCAGUUUAAUCAAACAUGGGUUUCUCUUACAAGGACUGAACCGUUACUGUGGUGAAAUAUUUGCUUAUCCAAUAUUUCUUCAAAGCGAGAUGUCAAAGAAGGCAAAGAUUACCUUUUUCGGUAUGGAUGUUACAUGCAGUUAUUGGCCUUACCUAAACAAAAUAGCAGAAGGGUUACCAGAGCUUCUGCCAUGGACAGAAAUGAGGCCAUUUCUUAGUGUAAUGCAUGCUAAAGCCUGUACAGCAAAAAGGUUAAGAUGUUGUGGCAGAAGCCAGGAUGGAGCAGGAAACACACUAGGAGAGGAAGUGGA